UUAAUAAGUCAGGGGUGCUUUGAUUUUCAAGGCUGAGAUUAUACCCUUCUAACCUGUUCGAUAAUGCGAGCGUAGGAAGACGGAAGAUUAUAUAC
This 95-nucleotide non-coding RNA is filed under the name Eubacterium sp. RNAcentral describes it as "TPP sequence". It matches the Rfam family "TPP riboswitch aptamer (THI element)". From Rfam's summary of the family: Vitamin B(1) in its active form thiamin pyrophosphate (TPP) is an essential coenzyme that is synthesised by coupling of pyrimidine and thiazole moieties in bacteria. The previously detected thiamin-regulatory element, thi box was extended, resulting in a new, highly conserved RNA secondary structure, the THI element, which is widely distributed in eubacteria and also occurs in some archaea. Analysis of operon structures identified a large number of new candidate thiamin-regulated genes, mostly transporters, in various prokaryotic organisms. RNAcentral also lists the same sequence under 1 other name. Lineage: Bacteria; Bacillati; Bacillota; Clostridia; Eubacteriales; Eubacteriaceae. The record is from RNAcentral.